GGAUGCUUGCCGCCGAAAUGGACGUCGACCGGCGCACGGGUGAGUAACGCGUAUCCAACCUUCCCCGUUAUUGCGGGAUAACCUGCCGAAAGGCAGACUAAUACCCGCAUGUUCUUCGAUGACGGCAUCAGGUUCGAAGCAAAGAUCCGUCGGUAACGGAGGGGGAUGCGUCUGAUUAGCUAGUUGGCGGGGCGACGGCCCACCAAGGCGACGAUCAGUAGGGGUUCUGAGAGGAAGGUCCCCCACAUUGGAACUGAGACACGGUCCAAACUCCUACGGGAGGCAGCAGUGAGGAAUAUUGGUCAAUGGGCGGAAGCCUGAACCAGCCAAGUAGCGUGCAGGAGGACGGCCCUACGGGUUGUAAACUGCUUUUAUGCGGGGAUAAAGUGAGGGACGCGUCCCUUUUUGCAGGUACCGCAUGAAUAAGGACCGGCUAAUUCCGUGCCAGCAGCCGCGGUAAUACGGAAGGUCCGGGCGUUAUCCGGAUUUAUUGGGUUUAAAGGGAGCGUAGGCCGGGGAUUAAGUGUGUUGUGAAAUGUAGGCGCCCAACGUCUGACUUGCAGCGCAUACUGGUUCCCUUGAGUACGCGCAACGCCGGCGGAAUUCGUCGUGUAGCGGUGAAAUGCUUAGAUAUGACGAAGAACCCCGAUUGCGAAGGCAGCCGGCGGGAGCGCAACUGACGCUGAAGCUCGAAGGUGCGGGUAUCGAACAGG
Molecule: ribosomal RNA, 713 nt
Filed under: uncultured Prevotella sp.
Lineage: Bacteria; Pseudomonadati; Bacteroidota; Bacteroidia; Bacteroidales; Prevotellaceae
Description: bacterial SSU rRNA
Rfam family: Bacterial small subunit ribosomal RNA
Source: RNAcentral